Molecule: ribosomal RNA, 496 nt
Filed under: uncultured bacterium
Lineage: Bacteria
Description: partial 16S ribosomal RNA
Rfam family: Bacterial small subunit ribosomal RNA
Source: RNAcentral
GAUGAACGCUGGCGGCGUGCCUAAUACAUGCAAGUCGAGCGAACAGAUAAGGAGCUUGCUCCUUUGACGUUAGCGGCGGACGGGUGAGUAACACGUGGGUAACCUACCUAUAAGACUGGGAUAACUUCGGGAAACCGGAGCUAAUACCGGAUAACAUUUGGAACCGCAUGGUUCUAAAGUGAAAGAUGGUUUUGCUAUCACUUAUAGAUGGACCCGCGCCGUAUUAGCUAGUUGGUAAGGUAACGGCUUACCAAGGCGACGAUACGUAGCCGACCUGAGAGGGUGUGGGGCCACACUGGAACUAGAACACGGUCCAACCCCCUAGGGAGGACAGCAUUGGGAAACUUCCCGCAUGGGCGAAAGGCCUGCCGGGGCAACGCCGCGUAGGGGAUGAAGGGUUUCGGUCCGAAAAACUCUGUUAUAGGGAAGAACAAAUGUGUAAGUAACUGUGCACGUCUUGACGGUACCUAAUCAGAAAGCCACGGCUAACUACGUG